UACGUAGGGGGCAAGCGUUAUCCGGAUUUACUGGGUGUAAAGGGAGCGCAGGCGGAAGGCCAAGUCUGAUGUGAAAACCCGGAGCUCAACUGCGGGAUUGCAUUGGAAACUGGUCAUCUUGAGUCUCGGAGGGGCAAGCGGAAUUCCUAGUGUAGCGGUGAAAUGCGUAGAUAUUAGGAGGAACACCGGUGGCGAAGGCGGCUUGCUGGACGAUGACUGACGCUGAGGCUCGAAAGCGUGGGGAG
This 245-nucleotide ribosomal RNA is filed under the name uncultured Lachnospiraceae bacterium. Its description in RNAcentral is "partial 16S ribosomal RNA". It matches the Rfam family "Bacterial small subunit ribosomal RNA", at positions 524 to 768 of the family's 1533-position model. Lineage: Bacteria; Bacillati; Bacillota; Clostridia; Lachnospirales; Lachnospiraceae. The record is from RNAcentral.